UACGGCGGUCAUUGCGUGGGGGAAACGCCCGGUCCCAUUCCGAACCCGGAAGCUAAGGCCCACAGCGCCGAUGGUACUGCACUCGGGAGGGUGUGGGAGAGUAGGUCGCCGCCGGAC
Molecule: ribosomal RNA, 117 nt
Filed under: Arthrobacter koreensis
Lineage: Bacteria; Bacillati; Actinomycetota; Actinomycetes; Micrococcales; Micrococcaceae
Source: RNAcentral